Molecule: Y RNA, 106 nt
Filed under: Saimiri boliviensis boliviensis (Bolivian squirrel monkey)
Lineage: Eukaryota; Metazoa; Chordata; Mammalia; Primates; Cebidae
Description: Y RNA (ENSSBOG00000011919.1)
Rfam family: Y RNA
About the family: Y RNAs are components of the Ro ribonucleoprotein particle (Ro RNP), in association with Ro60 and La proteins. The Y RNAs and Ro60 and La proteins are well conserved, but the function of the Ro RNP is not known.
Source: Rfam by way of RNAcentral
GGCUGGUCUGUACGUAGUGUUAUCUCGAUUGUUCACAGUCAGUUACAGAUUGAACUCCUUGUUUCCUCUUUCCCUCCUUCUCACUACUGCACUUGGCUAGUCUUAA